Ipomoea triloba (trilobed morning glory) is the source of this 685-nucleotide long non-coding RNA. RefSeq lists it as uncharacterized. Lineage: Eukaryota; Viridiplantae; Streptophyta; Magnoliopsida; Solanales; Convolvulaceae. The transcript has 2 exons. The record is from RefSeq and is a predicted model, not a curated record.
UAGUGCUGAGUUCUUAUUUUUCCAAUUCGAGGAUUAUGGAAGUUUGAUUCUACAAGACCAGGACGGAGAGGGUCAGAGGGUGAGAAGUGGAGAAACUUAACGGAGACAAUGUUGGGACCAGCGAAGAAGCGGAAACAAAGUUGUGAGUGGCGGAGAGACGGAGAUCCAACCGGAGACCGAGUAGAUGUCGCCCGAUAUAGUCUCCGGAGAUGAUGGCGGGGUGGAGCAUGGAGUCGUCGAGAGAGGCGCAAAUGAGAAGUCUAAAUCCCUAACAUUAAGCCUUUAUGUAUAUAUAUUGAUUUCUGACCACUUACGGUGGUCGGGCAAAAGAUAAAUGUAAAUAAUUUUAAAUGGCCGGAAAACAUUUCCGACCACCCUUUAAAGUGGUCGGAAAUUCCAACCAUUUUCCGCUCAACUCCUCGACGGAAAAAGGAAAAAUAUCACAUUUUCCGACCUUUGUUGUGGGUGGUCGGAAAUUGGAAGAUUUCCAGCAGUGAUUGAACAUGAAUGAAUAAUUAAGGUUUUAGAAAGUAGUACCGUUUAUCGAGGAUAUAGAGCACUCAUGUUGAUAACGUGUUGUGAAAUCGAAUGUAUCCUUGUGUGAAUAGUUGUAUGGUUUCAAUUGUAGUAAAGUAAAGAGCAAAUGAGAAAGACAGAGAAUAUGGAGAGAAUGAUGGAUCAUCUU